UACGGAGGGUGCAAGCGUUAUCCGGAUUUACUGGGUUUAAAGGGUGCGUAGGUGGGUCUGUAAGUCAGUGGUGAAAUCUCCGAGCUUAACUCGGAAACUGCCAUUGAUACUAUAGGUCUUGAAUUAUCUGGAGGUAAGCGGAAUAUGUCAUGUAGCGGUGAAAUGCUUAGAUAUGACAUAGAACACCAAUUGCGAAGGCAGCUUACUACGGAUUUAUUGACACUGAGGCACGAAAGCGUGGGGAUCAAACAGG
This 253-nucleotide ribosomal RNA is filed under the name uncultured bacterium. RNAcentral's name for it is "partial 16S ribosomal RNA". It matches the Rfam family "Bacterial small subunit ribosomal RNA", at positions 524 to 776 of the family's 1533-position model. The record is from RNAcentral.